RNAcentral lists this ribosomal RNA (206 nucleotides) under Fructilactobacillus fructivorans. RNAcentral's name for it is "partial 16S ribosomal RNA". It matches the Rfam family "Bacterial small subunit ribosomal RNA", at positions 1165 to 1370 of the family's 1533-position model. The record is from RNAcentral. Lineage: Bacteria; Bacillati; Bacillota; Bacilli; Lactobacillales; Lactobacillaceae.
GGAGGAAGGUGGGGAUGACGUCAAAUCAUCAUGCCCCUUAUGACCUGGGCUACACACGUGCUACAAUGGACGGUACAACGAGUUGCGAAACCGCGAGGUCAAGCUAAUCUCUUAAAGCCGUUCUCAGUUCGGAUUGCAGGCUGCAACUCGCCUGCAUGAAGUUGGAAUCGCUAGUAAUCGUGGAUCAGCAUGCCACGGUGAAUACG